UACGGAGGAUCCAAGCGUUAUCCGGAAUCAUUGGGUUUAAAGGGUCCGUAGGCGGGCUUUUAAGUCAGUGGUGAAAUCUCCCAGCUCAACUGGGAAACUGCCAUUGAUACUGUAGGUCUUGAAUUAUUAUGAAGUAACUAGAAUAUGUAGUGUAGCGGUGAAAUGCUUAGAUAUUACAUGGAAUACCAAUUGCGAAGGCAGGUUACUACUAAUAUAUUGACGCUGAGGUGCGAAAGCGUGGGGAGCAAACAGG
This 253-nucleotide ribosomal RNA is filed under the name uncultured bacterium. RNAcentral's name for it is "partial 16S ribosomal RNA". It matches the Rfam family "Bacterial small subunit ribosomal RNA", at positions 524 to 776 of the family's 1533-position model. The record is from RNAcentral.